This is a long non-coding RNA of Lagopus muta (rock ptarmigan), 2501 nucleotides long. RefSeq lists it as uncharacterized. Lineage: Eukaryota; Metazoa; Chordata; Aves; Galliformes; Phasianidae. The record is from RefSeq and is a predicted model, not a curated record. The transcript has 3 exons.
UUAGGAAGCAGGAACACUGGGCAUGAGCAGAGUAGCUCACAUGGCAUUUCUUUAUUUAACAUAUGCGCUUCUUUCUUCCCUACUUUUCUGUCUUUCUUUAUUAUUGUCUGGGUUGGGGGCAUAUAGCAUAAUUAGAAAUUGAAUUAUUUAUGAGAAGUCAUUAAAAUGAGUGGCUUGCAGAUUUGUCAAAGAUAGCAGACAUAUGACAUGAAACUGCUUUUUCCUCAGCUGCUUUUGCAGAUAGUGACUUCAUGGAAGCCUAGAUAAAGCAUCUUGAACUGUGGAAAAAAGAGAGAAUGCUUUGUAACAUUAGUGGUGUAUGUGUGCAAAUAUCUGUGUGAGUGUUGUGGGAAAACUGAAAAUAUGGUGGAGAUUAGUCAACAGAAGGGUAAUGUGAGGAAGCAAUGGGAAGGAAUAGGUCAUGAUUCACUAUACAGCUUUAGAAAUCAGGAAAUGUAAUUUCUCCACCAACUGGAGGAGUUCAUGAUCCUGAUGAAAUUUCAAAGCAGUGGGAACUCACUUAAUAGCAUUAACACAUACAUUAUUUCACUAUCAUGAGGAGUGUGUCUAAAAAUAACAUAGGAGGCCUUAAGUUAUAUCAUGCUGUGAUACAGAAGACGUAUCUCAAAGUAGAUAAGAUCUAUUCCUCUAAUAAAUGAGAUCCAAAACAAACUAAGUUAAGCCUUUUAACUGUCCUGCUAUUUUUGUCAUAUUAAAACUUAAUUCUCUGAAGGUAUUUUUGGAAAUGCGCAUUCAUGCUAGUGAAAUGAUCUCAUGCCAUUGAAAUAGUCUCUUUAAUGCUGGCUUUCUGUUUUCAGGUGCGGACAAUGAUAUUUGGUCCUUUCAAAGCAAGAUCAAAGCAUUGUUAGGAAUCAUAUUUAUUCCAAUGACUACUGGUGAAUUCUGGUAAUUUGAACGGAGCUAGCAGACUCUUCAUAGUACUGGAGAUGCUUAUGAUCCCCUUUUGUUGCUUUACUGGCAGAAAUGCAUGAAUAUCCAGAAACAGAUAAAUAUACAUUUCUCCCACCGUACAGAGUGCAAAAAUGAUGAUUUUUUGAACAUCAUGUUGUCCAUUACUCCUCUUUACAUGAAAAUAGAAUCAUGCCAAUAACAACUGGAAGAUUUUAGUGGAUUUUAGGAAGAAUGCUAAGUACUGCUUGAUAGGAUAUAAUGCUAGGAGUCGUAGGGGAGAACCAAAGGGAGAUCAGUUUCACAGCUCUUCUGCAAUCUGGGAUGUGACCUAUCGCAUCUUUUGCCAUUUCUCCUUCUAGUUACAUGCUGGCUUUAUGUGCGAGGAGACAAAAGCUACUUCAUAGCCCUGUGCUUAUGAGGGCUCUAGAAAUGAAAAAUACUGCGUUAACAGUAAGCAGAAAGGUUUGUUACUUUAUUACUGUGUAAAUUGAAGUACUUGAACAUCUAUGGUGCUUUCUUCUAGAUUUUUUUUCCCUCAUUUAGCAAAUAGCAUGUAAGUCAUGAAUUCUUGUCCUCAUUUUAAAUAAUGCCAGCGUUUCUAUGUUGUACUCAUAUUUUUAACUGAUUCCUACAAUCUGUCAAAUAAAUUUAGGUACAUCCCACAUUUGCUUUUAUUUAUCUACGAAGUGGAGCCUCCUUAUUCAUUACAUUUUGGCUGCCAGUAAGAAUGGAAACCAUCCCAAGCCAUAUAUAAAUUUAAAUGGCAACAGAAUGACUGGCACUAGAUAUGUGUUUUUAGUGUCAAGACUAUGGUAAUGUAUAUCAUUAGUUGUUAAACAUAGUCUGCUGUCGGCGCUGUGCCAGCAUGCUGCCUUGUGCACAGUGCCAAACCUUGCUGGGAACCUAGAAUGUUCUGUAGUUCAACUGCAUAUUUUCUCAGUUGUAGCUGCAGAAAUGAGACACCAAAUGUAGUGACACAAAAUAACUUCUGAACCAUGCUGAUGCUCUGUGCCAGCAUGAUGUGCAAAUUAGUCUCACUUUGGGCCACUGUCUAGACCAAUCUCCCUAAUAGAGCAAUUUCCCUAGGGUAGGUUGUACAGGAAAGCAUGAAGUUGAGUUUGUUGUAAGAGACUCCACAGCCUGCCUGGACAGCUCUUUCCAGUGUUUUCUCACCCUGGUACAUAAUCACAGAAUGGUUGAAAUCAAAGGAGUCCUCUGGAGGCCAUCUUGUCCAAUGUCUCUGCUUAAGGAAGGACACUUAGACCAGGAUGCCUGGGACCGUGUUCAUAAAGAUAUCCUUAUAAUAUAUGGGAGUGUGCUUCUGUGUGUGUAAUAUAUGCAUAAUAUGGCCAUUAUGAAAUAUCAAACAAAAUAAAUCAAAAAGCAAUCUAAACUUAACCUGAAGCAGAUAAGGUUCAAGGAGAGCUGAGAUAACUUGUUUUGUUCAGCUUUAAUAAGAAAAAUCUAAUAGGGGACGUUAAUACUGUCUGCCACUACCUAAUGGGGGAUACAAGGAAGAGAGAAGAUAGAUCCAUUCUCUUUCUGGUGGGGCAUAGUAAUGCUUCAAGAGACAAAGGACACAAGCCAAA